CGUAACACGUGAGCAACCUGCCUAGGUGUGGGGGAUAGCCGGCCCAACGGCCGGGUAAUACCGCAUACGCUCAACACGAGGCAUUUCGAGUUGAGGAAAUCUUCGGGGCACUAUGAGGGGCUCGCGGCCUAUCAGCUAGUUGGCGAGGUAAUGGCUCACCAAGGCUACGACGGGUAGCUGGUCUGAGAGGAUGGCCAGCCACAUUGGGACUGAGAAACGGCCCAG
Molecule: ribosomal RNA, 225 nt
Filed under: uncultured bacterium
Lineage: Bacteria
Description: partial 16S ribosomal RNA
Rfam family: Bacterial small subunit ribosomal RNA
Source: RNAcentral